Molecule: long non-coding RNA, 224 nt
Filed under: Chlamydomonas reinhardtii
Lineage: Eukaryota; Viridiplantae; Chlorophyta; Chlorophyceae; Chlamydomonadales; Chlamydomonadaceae
Description: long non-coding RNA (CREI_LNC000653)
Source: RNAcentral
ACGUGUCUGUGCCUACGUGCGUGCGACCGUGCGUGCGUGGCUGCUGUCUGAGGAUUGCCCCCAAUCCCCUGGACGUGGGAAUGGCUUCAACGCAUGCGCCACCACCAGUCCGCCACACGCACCUCUGAAGUCCUAGUGCAAGCAAGAUUAGAGGGUGGUGAUAAGCGUGUUGCACGUACGGGCACGCAUCGGAACAGGUAGGGGCUACCCUGCAUCCGAACUUC